RNAcentral lists this ribosomal RNA (254 nucleotides) under uncultured bacterium. Its description in RNAcentral is "partial 16S ribosomal RNA". It matches the Rfam family "Bacterial small subunit ribosomal RNA", at positions 524 to 776 of the family's 1533-position model. The record is from RNAcentral.
UACGUAGGGGGCUAGCGUUGUCCGGAUUUAUUGGGCGUAAAGAGCUCGUAGGCGGCUUGUCGCGUCGACUGUGAAAACCCAUGGCUCAACCAUGUGGUCUGCAGUCGAUACGGGCAGGCUAGAAUUCGGUAGGGGAGACUGGAAUUCCUGGUGUAGCGGUGAAAUGCGCAGAUAUCAGGAGGAACACCGGUGGCGAAGGCGGGUCUCUGGGCCGAUAUUGACGCUGAGGAGCGAAAGCGUGGGGAGCGAACAGG